RNAcentral lists this microRNA precursor (66 nucleotides) under Mustela putorius furo (domestic ferret). Its description in RNAcentral is "miRNA (ENSMPUG00000022106.1)". The record is from RNAcentral. Lineage: Eukaryota; Metazoa; Chordata; Mammalia; Carnivora; Mustelidae.
CCCGGCCCAGGUCCCGGCCCUGGCCCUGGCCCCGGCCCGGGUCCUGGCCCUGGUCCCGGUCCCGGC